RNAcentral lists this long non-coding RNA (7449 nucleotides) under Zea mays. RNAcentral describes it as "long non-coding RNA (ZMAY_LNC001053)". Lineage: Eukaryota; Viridiplantae; Streptophyta; Magnoliopsida; Poales; Poaceae. The record is from RNAcentral.
CAGGAUCGAAUGUCACAUCUUUACUAUAUAAUCGGAGUUCUGUACAAAAUAAAUAAAUAAUUACAUUAUAAGGAGACAAUGGUCCAGCAACCCAAAGUUGACUGGGAGACGACGACCUAGACCUCUCACGAACAGCAUCCUCCAUGCGCCUCAUCCUGUGGUACCUGUUCUUGACCUGUGGGGGGGGGUGUGAGACAGCAAGAGUGAGCUCACAUACGUUCAUCGCUCAACAAGUUGUGGGGAAUAAUGUGCAUGAACUCACCAAAGGUGGGAGCUCAUGUGAAGUGUAAGGCUUACCAAAGAGGAUGGUUAGAGCUGAGCAUUGCUUUUAAAGUUGGUCAAAAUUUUAUUAGCAAUUACUAAGUAUAAGUAAAUACCAACCCAAUUAAAUAGUAGAACAGAAGUAACAACAUCACCUGCGAUGCAAUGCAUAUGACAAAUUGAAUUUAAGUUCCAUAAAUUAAUCAUGUGAGGGUCCGAGCUGCUCAUGACCGUGAGCACGGCUAGUAUACCAGUUUUACACUCUGCAGAGGUUGCGCAUCUUUACCCACAAGUCAUGUUACCCAUCUGCCAAGGGAUCGCGACUUCCCAUACACCUCUACCGAGGAGGCGAGGCAGGGUAACACUACGAGGCCUUUACAAAGUUCCACUAGCUUCAGAAAACCCGCUACAGUUUAUAGGAAGCUCCAAUGCAGGAAUCCCUUGCAGGACCGCCAUCGCAGCAAAAUCCUCCCGAGGGCCUCCCUACACUGACCACUCCCCUACUGCCCUUGCCCCUUUCGGGUAAGGUAGUCCUCCACUAGCUUUCCUAAUUAAUUAGCCAAGGGCGUCCCAUUAAACCCUUGUGGUAGCACUGUUUUCCCGGGUGGUCGCUCCAUGUUCCAAUUAACAUAAUGAUCUUAUCAUGAACAGUGAUAAUAAACAGAUAAUAAAAGUGUGAUCAUGAAUAAUGUAUCUUCAUACCCAAAACCACAUAAAGCACUAGCAAGUACUACCCAAAAAGUUUAGUGGUAAACAAGGUAUAAAGAUAAUCAGACUAGGGUAACCUAUUGGGUCCCAUCAAAAUUAACCUAUGCAGAUCAUUAUGAUUAAUCAGAACAUGAGUGGGUAAAAAGAAGUGAUCAAGGGCACAACUUGCCUGAGACUUGAGAUUCCAGGUACCAGGAUGAUCUUCAGAUGACACGUGACCUCACUGCUAGUCGUAGUAAUACAAACAAACAGUAUAUAGACAAGAUUAACAUUACACCAAACAUAAGUACAAACUGAAUAAUAAUGAUCUACGCGUCAUAACGAGAUCGUGGGAACAAGAAUUACUAAAUUCGGAGUUACAGUUAGAAAGUUAUGAUUUUAUGGAGUUAUUGAGUACCUAGAAUAGAUUAAUUCGAAUGGGCAAUUUUAAUUCAAGUUUCAUGGCUAAAUAGUGUUACUGGUUGGUAGACAAUAUUAAAAUAAAAUUAUUGCAACUGGAAUGACUCAAUUUGAAGUUAAAAUGAGAAAGUUAUGAAUUUCUAAUGAUUUUAUGUGUUUUGUACAAGAUUAAAUAGAAUAUAGAUUUUAAUGUGACCUUCAUGUCAAAACUAUGUGAUAAAUAAUAAUAUUAUAGAAUUAUAAAAAUCAGAAUGAACUAAUUUGGACUUAAUAUGAAUUUCUUAUGGAUUAAACAAGUUUCUGUAUUUAUUUUUAUAUUAAAAAUCUAUUUUCUAAUCUAUUUUUCCUGUUUUACUGAUCUCAGGACUGGGCGCCAAUAAUAGAGAAACACAUGGACUAAUGUAUAAACAUAUCCCAGACACAGAUUCAACCCGCGGUGGACGGCGGGUUGAAUAGAUGAAACCCCAGGGUCUCUUUUAGAAAGUGCGCGCAGCGAAGGGGUAUCUUCUUAUCUGGGCCGUCAGAUCGUGAAUCCAAGGUUCAGAUUAGAAGUCCUCACAUCUGAAACGGCAUGCAGUGUGUGUCGUCCGAUCAAUAACCAACGCCUAGGAUUUAAAACACUCGGGUUGAUUUCGGCGCGCCCAAUCCAGAUCGAACGGCGCAAAUCCACCCCACCGAACCGGUAUCGCCCAUUUAAUCCUAGCCGCAAGAUCAUCGAUCCACGGUCGAAAAGCCCCCCUACCUAUCCUUCUAAUCUUACCCGUACAUGGCCCGAUCAACGGCCCUCACAUCGUCGUCCUCAUGACGCCCCGUCGCGGUGACAAUAGUACCGGCGCGGCGGCGCCAUGGCUUCAACAUGGGGAUACGACAUCUCGAUGCGCUAGAACAACCCCGCCAGACUCUACGCAAAGCCAAGAGGAUGACGAAGAAUAUGGGAAAAACCUUACCGAACAGGGUGGCGAAGAGAGUCUGGUCCACGUUGAUAGGCGGAUCCGCAGCAGGUCGUAUGCUCCAGCGAACCCCAGGGGUCACCCCCCUUGCCCUGAAUCCAUGGCCACCCUCGCCGCACCCCGAUGAAGCACUCGAACCCAUCGCCCAGACCCAGGUGCUGGUAUGCUUGCAAGGCCACCACGACGAAAAUCUCUCUUCCUCUCUCUACUGUUUUUUUGUUCUUCCACGGGUGCGCUUGGUUCAUCGGUGCCGGGCUGCCGGCUUAGGAUGGAGAAAGCAGGGAUAGCGGCGUAAAUAUAUAUCUCGGGGCGUGGCUAGCAGGCGCGAGUGCGCGAGGUCAAGCCCGUGUCUCCCGGCGGCUGGUGAGGGAUUCGGUUGGGCAGUUGUUGGAGAUCUACGGUGCCCAGCUUCUGUAUCCGCCGCGAGGCUUGGAGUCUGUUGCGCUGUCCACGCGAGGACGACGGAAUCCAGUUGAGACGAGUUCAUGGCUAUUCUAUUCUAACGACGCGAGGGGAGGACGAGUGGUCCAUGCGUCAGCCAUCUCGACUCCAUGAUCGCGCAUGAGGCUGUUCCGUGGCCUGCUGUUUGCGACUUGCUUGCAUGCUUAUGUCAUAGCAUAUGUCAUGAUGACCUCAUUUGCGGCAAGAGAAUAAAAUAAUAGUAAAUAUACUAGUUAGAGUGGGCGUGGGGAACAUGGGCUGGCUGGUGCCUUGCUCCCGGCCCGACCAAUUAAGUGCUUCUUUUUUUUCCUGUUUUUUUUUCUAUUUAUAUUUUGAUUCAAAUUCAAUUCUAUGUUGAACUUUUAAUUAAAGUACAAAAGGUAACAAAAAAAACCCAGCAUGAGAUGCAAUAUAUUUAUAUUAUAUAUUUAUUAAUUAGUCUUAUCAAUUUAGGUAAGGGCUUUAAAUAUGUAGUGCACACACAGAACUUAUUUUGAAAACAUUACUUUGAUGUUAUUUAAGAUUUCAUAUUUAUUACUUAUACUUAUUUAAUUUAUAACAAAAUAAUGUUCGAUCUUUAUCAGGAAUUACUUUAUAUUAAAUAAAAAGAGUGUUUCCAUUUAUCUAGUUCAUGAAGGAAAUAACUCAUUCUAAAAAAAUGAAAGUCUUUCUAUUUUUUUGUGUGGAGAGUUUCAAAUUGGAUCCUAGUUUUAUGGUUUUUUUGAUUUAAUUUACUAACAUUUUAAUAUUACAUAUUUAUUUGUUUAUUUAUUUCAUUAUUAUUAUUUUUUUUCUUCUACCAAUUUUUUGGCUUUACAAAUCCUACCCCCUUAAAAAGAAUCUCGUCCUCGAGAUUUGUAAGAAAGAGGUUGCAAUAAGUUUGUUUUGUAGUCUAUGUUUCAGUUUUCAUGUGGUUUUAAUUCCAAAUGAUUUUUUUAUAACACAAAUUAGAAGAUGAUUAGGAAAGCAUGGGUAUGUAUAUCUAUUUUAUGGUAUAUGGUGAAAGAUGUUUUUAAAGCAUAGAGGGGUUUGGGUAAGAAAGAGUAUGUAAGAAAAGACUCCAUCAUAGAUAGUGGAUCUUGAUUCAUCUGGCGAUCCAGCCUGGUCCUUGAAGACUUGAGUGGUUGUCUAUCCUUCUUUGACGUGGUUGGUCUUCUUUGGCCUUUCUUCUUGGAGUUGCCAUCCGAGUUAAGGACAUAUAGUUAGGAUAGUCGGGGUACACGAGGUGGAUAGGUUUGAACAAAGUCUUUACUUUGCUUUUUGAACAAAUGGAUUAGGCAACCUUUGAUGUAGGUUAGGUUGUUGUUUACGGGCGAGUUAGUCAAGGUAUUAAUUUAGGGUAAGAUAUGUUUAUAGAAUUAUGGCCUAACUCUUUUUUUUGUCGCCAACGUUAUCUAACUUAUUUAAGUAACUCAAUUUGGAUUAGAUCAUGUUAGAUUAGGUAGGAUCUAGAUCAAAUUGGAAUAAGAUAAAAUCUUUUCAAGAUAAGAUAAAUCUAUUAAGAUAAGAGAGAAUCUUUUAAGAUGAGAUGGAUCUAUUAGACUUGAUAUAUUUUUGUGGGGGAUAUUCUAAGUUGGCUAGUUAUUUUAUCAACAUUUUUUUGCUAUAUUUAUAUACAGAUGUAAUUGUGGACAUUACUCCACAACUCAUCACACUCAAUCAAAGAUCCAAAUCAGACAAGUAUCAUAAGAACAAACAUUGAAGUAUACAAAUAAAAAAAUAGUUUUGUUUUUUCCCUAAUAUUAGGUCUCCUAUUCCUAAAGGUCACUUUAGGUACAUGAUUUCAAAGUGUGAAAUCCACAUUUGUCUUUAGAAUGAAAAGGUAAGAAUAAUCAGAGUAAGCGGAAAUAGAUGAAAAAGAUUAAGAGAAGUUUAGAAAAGAAUCAGAGUAGGAAAGGUAAGUAGAUAAUGGUUGUCCAGUUCUAUCUAGGUUUCGUCCUACAGUCAACAUUCCUCUGAUACCACUUCUGUCACACCCGGGUUUUAGGGGCACCAAGACCCGGGCGCGAACAUAAACACCAGAUAUGCUGGGACCAAGUCUCACACAUAUGAUGUAUAGUGGCACAGGAUCGAAUGUCACAUCUUUACUAUAUAAUCGGAGUUCUGUACAAAAUAAAUAAAUAAUUACAUUAUAAGGAGACAAUGGUCCAGCAACCCAAAGUUGACUGGGAGACGACGACCUAGACCUCUCACGAACAGCAUCCUCCAUGCGCCUCAUCCUGUGGUACCUGUUCUUGACCUGUGGGGGGGUGUGAGACAGCAAGAGUGAGCUCACAUACGUUCAUCGCUCAACAAGUUGUGGGGAAUAAUGUGCAUGAACUCGCCAAAGGUGGGAGCUCAUGUGAAGUGUAAGGCUUACCAAAGAGGAUGGUUAGAGCUGAGCAUUGCUUUUAAAGUUGGUCAAAAUUUUAUUAGCAAUUACUAAGUAUAAGUAAAUACCAACCCAAUUAAAUAGUAGAACAGAAGUAACAACAUCACCUGCGAUGCAAUGCAUAUGACAAAUUGAAUUUAAGUUCCAUAAAUUAAUCAUGUGAGGGUCCGAGCUGCUCAUGACCGUGAGCACGGCUAGUAUACCAGUUUUACACUCUGCAGAGGUUGCGCAUCUUUACCCACAAGUCAUGUUACCCAUCUGCCAAGGGAUCGCGACUUCCCAUACACCUCUACCGAGGAGGCGAGGCAGGGUAACACUACGAGGCCUUUACAAAGUUCCACUAGCUUCAGAAAACCCGCUACAGUUUAUAGGAAGCUCCAAUGCAGGAAUCCCUUGCAGGACCGCCAUCGCAGCAAAAUCCUCCCGAGGGCCUCCCUACACUAACCACUCCCCUACUGCCCUUGCCCCUUUCGGGUAAGGUAGUCCUCCACUAGCUUUCCUAAUUAAUUAGCCAAGGGCGUCCCAUUAAACCCUUGUGGUAGCACUGUUUUCCCGGGUGGUCGCUCCAUGUUCCAAUUAACAUAAUGAUCUUAUCAUGAACAGUGAUAAUAAACAGAUAAUAAAAGUGUGAUCAUGAAUAAUGUAUCUUCAUACCCAAAACCACAUAAAGCACUAGCAAGUACUACCCAAAAAGUUUAGUGGUAAACAAGGUAUAAAGAUAAUCAGACUAGGGUAACCUAUUGGGUCCCAUCAAAAUUAACCUAUGCAGAUCAUUAUGAUUAAUCAGAACAUGAGUGGGUAAAAAGAAGUGAUCAAGGGCACAACUUGCCUGAGACUUGAGAUUCCAGGUACCAGGAUGAUCUUCAGAUGACACGUGACCUCACUGCUAGUCGUAGUAAUACAAACAAACAGUAUAUAGACAAGAUUAACAUUACACCAAACAUAAGUACAAACUGAAUAAUAAUGAUCUACGCGUCAUAACGAGAUCGUGGGAACAAGAAUUACUAAAUUCGGAGUUACAGUUAGAAAGUUAUGAUUUUAUGGAGUUAUUGAGUACCUAGAAUAGAUUAAUUCGAAUGGGCAAUUUUAAUUCAAGUUUCAUGGCUAAAUAGUGUUACUGGUUGGUAGACAAUAUUAAAAUAAAAUUAUUGCAACUGGAAUGACUCAAUUUGAAGUUAAAAUGAGAAAGUUAUGAAUUUCUAAUGAUUUUAUGUGUUUUGUACAAGAUUAAAUAGAAUAUAGAUUUUAAUGUGACCUUCAUGUCAAAACUAUGUGAUAAAUAAUAAUAUUAUAGAAUUAUAAAAAUCAGAAUGAACUAAUUUGGACUUAAUAUGAAUUUCUUAUGGAUUAAACAAGUUUCUGUAUUUAUUUUUAUAUUAAAAAUCUAUUUUCUAAUCUAUUUUUCCUGUUUUACUGAUCUCAGGACUGGGCGCCAAUAAUAGAGAAACACAUGGACUAAUGUAUAAACAUAUCCCAGACACAGAUUCAACCCGCGGUGGACGGCGGGUUGAAUAGAUGAAACCCCAGGGUCUCUUUUAGAAAGUGCGCGCAGCGAAGGGGUAUCUUCUUAUCUGGGCCGUCAGAUCGUGAAUCCAAGGUUCAGAUUAGAAGUCCUCACAUCUGAAACGGCAUGCAGUGUGUGUCGUCCGAUCAAUAACCAACGCCUAGGAUUUAAAACACUCGGGUUGAUUUCGGCGCGCCCAAUCCAGAUCGAACGGCGCAAAUCCACCCCACCGAACCGGUAUCGCCCAUUUAAUCCUAGCCGCAAGAUCAUCGAUCCACGGUCGAAAAGCCCCCCUACCUAUCCUUCUAAUCUUACCCGUACAUGGCCCGAUCAACGGCCCUCACAUCGUCGUCCUCAUGACGCCCCGUCGCGGUGACAAUAGUACCGGCGCGGCGGCGCCAUGGCUUCAACAUGGGGAUACGGCAUCUCGAUGCGCUAGAACAACCCCGCCAGACUCUACGCAAAGCCAAGAGGAUGACGAAGAAUAUGGGAAAAACCUUACCGAACAGGGUGGCGAAGAGAGUCUGGUCCACGUUGAUAGGCGGAUCCGCAGCAGGUCGUAUGCUCCAGCGAACCCCAGGGGUCACCCCCCCCUUGCCCUGAAUCCAUGGCCACCCUCGCCGCACCCCGGUGAAGCACUCGAACCCAUCGCCCAGACCCAGGUGCUGGUAUGCUUGCAAGGCCACCACGACGAAAAUCUCUCUUCCUCUCUCUACUGUUUUUUUGUUCUUCCACGGGUGCGCUUGGUUCAUCGGUGCCGGGCUGCCGGCUUAGGAUGGAGAAAGCAGGGAUAGCGGCGUAAAUAUAUAUCUCGG